RNAcentral lists this ribosomal RNA (332 nucleotides) under uncultured bacterium. Its description in RNAcentral is "bacterial SSU rRNA". It matches the Rfam family "Bacterial small subunit ribosomal RNA", at positions 568 to 898 of the family's 1533-position model. The record is from RNAcentral.
UGCGUAGGCGGUUUGGUAAGUCUUGUGUGAAAUCUCCAGGCUCAACUUGGAGACUGCACGAGAAACUGCCGGGCUUGAGUAUGGGAGAGGUGAGUGGAAUUCCUGGUGUAGCGGUGAAAUGCGUAGAUAUCAGGAGGAACACCUGUGGCGAAAGCGGCUCACUGGACCAUAACUGACGCUGAUGCACGAAAGCUAGGGGAGCAAACAGGAUUAGAUACCCUGGUAGUCCUAGCCCUAAACGAUGACUGCUUGGUGUGGCGGGUACCCAAUCCCGCCGUGCCGUAGCUAACGCGUUAAGCAGUCCGCCUGGGGAGUACGGUCGCAAGGCUGAA